This 387-nucleotide ribosomal RNA is filed under the name uncultured Prorocentrum. Its description in RNAcentral is "partial small subunit ribosomal RNA". It matches the Rfam family "Eukaryotic small subunit ribosomal RNA", at positions 30 to 432 of the family's 1831-position model. Lineage: Eukaryota; Dinophyceae; Prorocentrales; Prorocentraceae. The record is from RNAcentral.
GCUUGUCUCAAAGAUUAAGCCAUGCAUGUCUAAGUACAAGCCUCAGUAAGGUGAAACCGCGAAUGGCUCAUUAAAUCACACCUAAUCUACUGGAAAGUUACUAGUUACUUGGAUAACUGUAGUAAUUCUAGAGCUAAUACAUGCGUCAGAACCCAACUUUACGGAAGGGUCGUGUUUAUUAGAUACAAAACCAACAUCUCGUUGGUGAUUCAUAAUAACCAAGCGAAUCGUCGGUUUACCGACGAUAGAUCGUUCAAGUUUCUGACCUAUCAGCUUUGGUCGGUAGGGUAUUGGCCUACCGAGGCAAUGACGGGUAACGGAGAAUUAGGGUUCGAUUCCGGAGAGGGAGCCUGAGAAACGGCUACCACAUCUAAGGAAGGCAGCAGG